RNAcentral lists this ribosomal RNA (468 nucleotides) under uncultured bacterium. RNAcentral's name for it is "partial 16S ribosomal RNA". It matches the Rfam family "Bacterial small subunit ribosomal RNA", at positions 28 to 507 of the family's 1533-position model. The record is from RNAcentral.
GACGAACGCUGGCGGCGUGCUUAACACAUGCAAGUCGAACGGAAAGGCCCUGCUUUUGUGGGGUGCUCGAGUGGCGAACGGGUGAGUAACACGUGAGUAACCUGCCCUUGACUUUGGGAUAACUUCAGGAAACUGGGGCUAAUACCGGAUAGGAGCUCCUGCUGCAUGGUGGGGGUUGGAAAGUUUCGGCGGUUGGGGAUGGACUCGCGGCUUAUCAGCUUGUUGGUGGGGUAGUGGCUUACCAAGGCUUUGACGGGUAGCCGGCCUGAGAGGGUGACCGGCCACAUUGGGCCUGAGGUACGGCCCAGACUCCUACGGGAGGCAGCAGCGGGGAAUAUUGCACAAUGGGCGGAAGCCUGAUGCAGCAACGCCGCGUGCGGGAUGACGGCCUUCGGGUUGUAAACCGCUUUCGCCUGUGACGAAGCGUGAGUGACGGUAAUGGGUAAAGAAGCACCGGCUAACUACGUG